This 500-nucleotide ribosomal RNA is filed under the name uncultured bacterium. RNAcentral describes it as "partial 16S ribosomal RNA". It matches the Rfam family "Bacterial small subunit ribosomal RNA", at positions 28 to 523 of the family's 1533-position model. The record is from RNAcentral.
GAUUAACGCUAGCGGCAGGCCUAAUACAUGCAAGUCGAACGGCAGCACGGGUAGCAAUACCUGGUGGCGAGUGGCGCACGGGUGCGUAACGCGUAUGCAACCUACCUAUAACUGGGGAAUAGCCUUCUGAAAGGAAGAUUAACACCGCAUAAUAUCACGAGACGGCAUCGCCUUGUGAUCAAAUCUCCGGAGGUUAUAGAUGGGCAUGCGUGACAUUAGCUAGUUGGUGAGGUAACGGCUCACCAAGGCUACGAUGUCUAGGGGGUCUGAGAGGAUGAUCCCCCACACUGGUACUGAGACACGGACCAGACUCCUACGGGAGGCAGCAGUAAGGAAUAUUGGACAAUGGGCGCAAGCCUGAUCCAGCCAUGCCGCGUGAAGGAUGACGGCCCUCUGGGUUGUAAACUUCUUUUAUACGGGAAUAAACCCCUCGAUUCUUCGGGGGCUGAAUGUACUGUAAGAAUAAGGAUCGGCUAACUUCGUGCCAGCCGCCGCUGUAA